Molecule: ribosomal RNA, 709 nt
Filed under: Enterobacter cloacae complex sp. ECNIH8
Lineage: Bacteria; Pseudomonadati; Pseudomonadota; Gammaproteobacteria; Enterobacterales; Enterobacteriaceae
Description: bacterial LSU rRNA
Rfam family: Bacterial large subunit ribosomal RNA
Source: RNAcentral
CCGGGUUGCGGACAGUGUCUGGUGGGUAGUUUGACUGGGGCGGUCUCCUCCCAAAGAGUAACGGAGGAGCACGAAGGUUGGCUAAUCCUGGUCGGACAUCAGGAGGUUAGUGCAAUGGCAUAAGCCAGCUUGACUGCGAGCGUGACGGCGCGAGCAGGUGCGAAAGCAGGUCAUAGUGAUCCGGUGGUUCUGAAUGGAAGGGCCAUCGCUCAACGGAUAAAAGGUACUCCGGGGAUAACAGGCUGAUACCGCCCAAGAGUUCAUAUCGACGGCGGUGUUUGGCACCUCGAUGUCGGCUCAUCACAUCCUGGGGCUGAAGUAGGUCCCAAGGGUAUGGCUGUUCGCCAUUUAAAGUGGUACGCGAGCUGGGUUUAGAACGUCGUGAGACAGUUCGGUCCCUAUCUGCCGUGGGCGCUGGAGAAUUGAGGGGGGCUGCUCCUAGUACGAGAGGACCGGAGUGGACGCAUCACUGGUGUUCGGGUUGUCAUGCCAAUGGCACUGCCCGGUAGCUAAAUGCGGAAGAGAUAAGUGCUGAAAGCAUCUAAGCACGAAACUUGCCCCGAGAUGAGUUCUCCCUGAGACUUUAAGUCUCCUGAAGGAACGUUAAAGACGAUGACGUUGAUAGGUCGGGUGUGUAAGCGCAGCGAUGCGUUGAGCUAACCGAUACUAAUGAACCGUGAGGCUUAACCUUACAACGCCGAAGGUGUUU